Molecule: ribosomal RNA, 434 nt
Filed under: uncultured bacterium
Lineage: Bacteria
Description: bacterial SSU rRNA
Rfam family: Bacterial small subunit ribosomal RNA
Source: RNAcentral
AUUGAACGCUGGCGGCAUGCUUUACACAUGCAAGUCGAACGGCAGCACGGGUGCUUGCACCUGGUGGCGAGUGGCGAACGGGUGAGUAAUGCAUCGGAACGUGCCCAUGAGUGGGGGAUAGCCCGGCGAAAGCCGGAUUAAUACCGCAUACGCCCUUAGGGGGAAAGCGGGGGAUCUUCGGACCUCGCGCUAUUGGAGCGGCCGAUGUCGGAUUAGCUAGUAGGUGAGGUAAAGGCUCACCUAGGCGACGAUCCGUAGCUGGUCUGAGAGGAUGAUCAGCCACACUGGGACUGAGACACGGCCCAGACUCCUACGGGAGGCAGCAGUGGGGAAUUUUGGACAAUGGGCGCAAGCCUGAUCCAGCCAUGCCGCGUGAGUGAAGAAGGCCUCGGUUGUAAGCUCUUCUAGUGGAAGAAAGUAGACGCUGUUAAUAG